UGGACAACGAUUGGGGCCAGAAUUUUGGGAAGUUCGUAUUACGAAAGCGAUAAAGCCUCGUCAAAAUUUGGUGAAAGCUCUUGAAGGUGUCAAAACAAUUGGAGAUGCACUUCACAAAUGUGUAGCUUGGCCUUCGGUUGAUAUUGAGGAUCCAUUUGCAGACUUUGCAAAUUGAGGGGAAUUAGAUAGACCAUGUAGAUAAAGGACAUACUUUUUGGAACUUUUAUUUUGGCACUUGUGUUUUGAGACAUAUUUUGCAACUAAUUGCUACAUUUGCAGGUUUAAAAGGAGCUAGAUAGAACACAUAGAUGAUGUACAUGCUUUUUGGGACUUUUUAUUUUGGCACUUGUGUUUUGAGACAAUAUUUUGGAAUUAGUUGCAGCAUUUUGCAGAUUAGGGGAGUUAGGUGGACCAUGUAAAUGCAAAUGUCUUGGGACUUUUAUUUUGAUACUAUAUAUUUUGAGACAAAUAUUUGGAACUAAUUGCUACAAGUGACAUGUAUUUUGGAACUAAUUGCUACAAGUGACAUGUAUUUGGAACUUUGCUACAUGUGACAUGUAUUUUGAAAUAGAUUUUGUUAAUUGAAUA
This is a non-coding RNA of Camellia sinensis, 588 nucleotides long. The record is from RefSeq and is a predicted model, not a curated record. Lineage: Eukaryota; Viridiplantae; Streptophyta; Magnoliopsida; Ericales; Theaceae.